This 167-nucleotide small RNA is filed under the name Paenibacillus sp. CECT 9249. Its description in RNAcentral is "ykoK". It matches the Rfam family "M-box riboswitch aptamer (ykoK leader)". From Rfam's summary of the family: M-box riboswitch, also know as ykoK leader is described as a metaloregulatory RNA that sense divalent metals and function as a genetic control element of genes related to divalent metal transport in bacteria. It was first reported upstream of the B.subtilis ykoK gene and genes with related functions in other bacteria. The record is from RNAcentral. Lineage: Bacteria; Bacillati; Bacillota; Bacilli; Caryophanales; Paenibacillaceae.
UACGAACCUCGUUAGGUGAGGCUCCUGUAUGGAGAAAUGCUGCUGCCCAGAAAUGUCCAAAGACGCCAAUGGGUCAACAGAAGCCAUCGACAUAAGGUGGUUUUUAAUGUAGCUGGAUUCCGCUCCUAUGCCAUACAGUGCUAAAACUCAACGAAUGGAGGUGUCGA